GACGAACGCUGGCGGCGUGCUUAACACAUGCAAGUCGAACGGAAAGGCCCUGCUUUUGUGGUGUGCUCGAGUGGCGAACGGGUGGGUAACACGUGAGUAACCUGCCCUUGACUUUGGGAUAACUUCUGGAAACUGGGGCUAAUACCGGAUAGGAGCUCCUGCUGCAUGGUGGGGUUUGGAAAGUUUCGGCGGUUGGGGAUGGACUCGCGGCUUAUCAGCUUGUUGGUGGGGUAGUGGCUUACCAAGGCUUUGACGGGUAGCCGGCCUGAGAGGGUGACCGGCCACAUUGGGACUGAGAUACGGCCCAGACUCAUACGGGAGGCAGCAGUGGGGAAUAUUGCACAAUGGGCGGAAGCCUGAGGCAGCAACGCCGCGUGCGGGAUGACGGCCUUCGGGUUGUAAACCGCUUUCGCCUGUGACGAAGCGUGAGUGACGGUAAUGGGUAAAGAAGCACCGGCUAACUACGUG
RNAcentral lists this ribosomal RNA (468 nucleotides) under uncultured bacterium. RNAcentral's name for it is "partial 16S ribosomal RNA". It matches the Rfam family "Bacterial small subunit ribosomal RNA", at positions 28 to 507 of the family's 1533-position model. The record is from RNAcentral.